Non-coding RNA from Petromyzon marinus (sea lamprey), 10943 nucleotides. The record is from RefSeq and is a predicted model, not a curated record. NCBI's taxonomy places the organism in Eukaryota, Metazoa, Chordata, Hyperoartia, Petromyzontiformes, Petromyzontidae.
UUAUUAUUUUUUCCUUCUACGUGGCUUUACCGAAAAAUAAUACAGUUACGUAUUAUGUUUUCUAUCUACGUGGCUUUACCGAAAGACCCAAAGAAUAUGUAGCCGGUUACUAAUCUUGGUCUUCCUCGGUGCUCUGCCAUCUCGAAUAACGUUACGAGAUGAUCUUGAACCUGCGUCCAUCUUCCUUGAGGCCACGUAGUUAACUGGGUCUCGUCAGUCAGUCGCGCUUUGGUGGUUGGUGGGGUUAGUCGUCGCCAUCGUCGCACGUGAUCGCGUUCGCCCCACUCGUUGUCAUCGCCGACACCCUGAAGGCGAGCCUUCGGUAGCGGCGAGUCCGCGUGUUCAGCACGCGCCUCGAGACAUCACAAACAGGAGCGGCGAGAGGAGGUGGCGACAACGGCAAUUAAACACUCGAUAAAAGUGUCACUGGCCAAAUCUCAGAAUGUCAAUCGAACGAAGGCAAUGAAGCUCAAAGCAGGGGACUAAAGAUAGCGUAUCAUACUCUUUGGUUCUUUCGGUAAAGUCACGUAGGUAGAAAAAUAAAAAUAUAUAUAUCAAGACGUUCCAAAUCAAGAUAGGGUAUCCCGUCUCCAAUUAAAGUUAAACCCACUUUUUAAACAUAACACUGUCCGUGGCGCGAACAUCAAUCCCUACCAUAGCAUUAUCCCCGUGCCCUAACUUAUAACGCGAACUUAGAAAACAUAAAACAACCUUAGCACAAAUCAUAGUAAUAAUUCUAGCACGAGCAUUAGAGCUAUCUCUCACACUGAGGUUUGACCAGGUGUUGCCGUUAGCAGAGAGCUUGACUCACAGGAAGUAGGACAAGUUUAUUUCCAGAUCGGUUGUCUUACUUAACCAAUCCUCCAGGGUGGAUAAAAUAAUGCACCAUUUUCUUUGAAGCGAAAAGGGGUUGUGAUAUUUGCCAGAUGCCCCUCUGUCAUAGGAAUGUGGAAUGGUUUAUCAUUGGUUCACGAGGGAAAGACUACCCAAACAGUGCGUCUUUGAGGAUAGAAACACUUUGACUUUUGGUAUAACAUUUAACUUAUUCUAUCUGUAAUAAUCACAUUGGAUAUAAUUGGAACGCGGUAAUCGGGCUUAUCCUGAAAUUUUCUUACAUUUUCAACCAAUCCAACUAUACCGCUGCCAUUAAACCUAUUCCUAACACGAAUCUUUUAUCAUCACCAUCAUCAUUGUCCAUUGUCUCUACACCGAUUGAAGGUCUCCCCAAGCCAUCGCUAUGUCUCAUAGUUUCGUGAUGCAAAAAUCCAUUGAGAAACUGACCAUUAGUUGAUAUUAUCACCCCAUGGUGGACGUCUUCUCGGGCUAACCAUUACCCUAACACUAUUCCUCACUAUAACAAUAACACUUAACAACAACAACUUUGCCACGACUGGAACAUUAAUCUUAAACACAAUCCAAAAAAAUCGCACCGUGAUGCUAUCUCUUAUCUUUGUGUACACUUAUACUGCAUUAACAUUAACCCUAGCCCAAUUUGGUCAGUGGGUGCUCCCACCUCUUACAAGGUGCAUUGACCAGCGUGGAAGAGUAGGCCAAAAUAAAAACCUCCAGAGGGACACUUUCCAGAGCUCUAAGUGCAGCCCCUUCCGCCAGCAGUGGAAUGAGCAAUACAUUUUAGAUUCCUCACACCUUUACCUACCCAUUGCAAUAACCCUAACACUGUCCUAACAUGAACCGUGAUCCCCAGCUCCUAAACCCCCCAAUCCCUCUCUUAACACAUUAAAUCCGCGCUGUGUGAAAGUCGUGCGAAACAAAAUCCUUUAAAUAUAAUUGCGGUGAGGGUUUUUUUAAAUAUUUGCAGCGCUGCACCUCGGCCAAUGUCACUUUAGUAAUAAAAGUGCGCAAUUACUCCUCCUCCUCCCUCUUCCCAAAGACCCCCACCGCCAUCGCAAGCGAGGCCUCGCGCAACGAGGACAUCGCGCAGUUAGCGCGAGACUUGCGACUGAAAUCGUCGUUUUUAACCCUUGCCUGCAAGCGUAUCGUUAAUUAGCGAACUCCAGUAAGAUUAAAUUUAUUUUGGCGUCUUAUUUUAAAGAGGUCAGUUCUUUCGCAGAUAGCACGCUCAUAAUUAAAGGGAGUUAUGGAUAUGUUCCAGAUUUGAUGGUUAACUAAUAACGAAAAAAAAAUCCCCAAAUCAGAGCUUGACAUGAAAUUUAAGACGAUCCAAUAAAAACGUGUUUGUGGUUUAUUCCGAAGGGAGAAGUGGCGGUGCUAAUAUGACGUUGCUUCGAGCGACGUCACUUUUGUGAGCCUCAAGACACACAACUACGUAACAAUGUAAAUGAGACUCUUUGGUUCUUUAAAUGUAAAUGAUCAGAAAUAUUUAAAAUCUGAAAAAAAUGCAUCCUAAAUUUUACUGAAAAAAAAUCUCCCAAAUUAUUUUUCCUCCAAAAAAGGGAGAUAUUACAUUAAAAAACACAACCUUUCAAAUUAAAGCCACUACACAUCUAACCACCAAUCUCAAUGCACUCAUUCAAUCUUUUAGCAAUUUUCUCAAUAAGAUAUGGUGCCAUCGCGUUCACAAUAUCCAAUCACCUACGGAGAAGAUAGAGAGGAUCAUGGUGAAAUCAGUCGGCUAUCUACAAAUAUGGUUAUAGCGUGAAGCGUGAUCACUAUAUUUAUCGCUAUAUUUUCAACUAUGGUUGGCUGCUCUUGGUCACAAAAAAACAUAUUACUAAUCCUGCGAUUCCUAAAACAUUUUUUCGUCGUCCAAAACGAUCGGCUUUGAGUAAUGAACUGCAGCGUUGUUCUUUCUGUAAAUAGACCCGCUACCUGCCCGCUUAUAGCCUACGUUCUCUAUCCACUGCUGCAUGCUCUUGUGUUCCGCAAGCCUUUGCUGCAAAUUAAUCUGCGCUGCGCAGCACGGAGAAUACUCUUCCCUGGCCGUGCGUAUCCGUGCGUUCUAGAGCCUUUUUAAAACGCUCUCGGCCCCCCUGUUAUAUCCCCCCCCUCCUCCUCCUCCUCACCACCCCCCCACUGCAAAGUGUCUAUCACUGGGCAUUAAUUGUUUUGUAACUUUCUUUUUCACGCAACGGACACAAAAAAAACACUGAAAGUAAAAGACCACGGUGAGCUGUGUUGCGUGGAUGUCUGCCGCAAAGGCGUGGGAGUGGAUGUCUUGCUGAAUGACUGGAAGCGAGAUGUCUUUGUUGCCUGAGCUGGUAAACACUACACCGGCAUGACAUUGGAGAAUAUGGUCGCAGAGAAGAAUAGCUUUGCUUCGAAAAAGUUGAAACCCGAGCUGUUUACAUCGGUUUAUGAUGCACACCAUUCUCAAAGGAUACACAAAUCGUUAAACGAUACGAUACGAUGAAGAGCGAUCGAAACAUUUGUCUGAAAUUGUCCGUGGGAUUUAACAACUCGCAUAAUAAUAAGAAGAAUAAGAAUAUUGAAACCACAUAGAGAGAAUCUGCUGAGCUCAUUUGAAAGCAAUCAAGUGUUCAAUGUCAAAAGUCGUAACAAAAAUUAAGAUAAUGAUGACGAUGAAGGUGAUGAUGACUAGAGCUACCAAUGGCAUCGGGAAUAUUUUGAGAAAUUAAAAACACCUCGGGACGGAAGAACAUAAAAAUGGAAAAUAAACAAAAAAAAUGAAAUCCUCGUGAAGAACAAGGUCGCAUCUGCAAGCCCUUUACUCGUACAGAAUGUACAGUGCCACUUUUCAUUUGUUCAAGGAGUCAUUUUUUUACCGAGCCUCUUGAAGAAGGUCUUUGGGGAUGACACCGGGCUGGCUGCGAGGAGGAUCGUCAUGGCGAUGGGAGGGAGGCUGGGGGUAGGUUGAUGAUGGCAGCGCGCAAGAGAUGUUGCUGGAGGUGAAAAUCGCCCACCAGAGAGAUGGCGAUUGGUUUUGAUGCGGGUUGCUACAUUACAAGGGCGGCGUGCGGGGUUGGUGGCUGCUUUGGAUUGAAAAACGAUGGAGGAAGAAGCUGCGGCGGUGGUGGUGGUGAUGGUGACGGUGGUCGUGGAGAGACGAGUUCACGUUGUGCUGGUCAAUCAACACGAUGCCCCCCACGCAUCUCCGUCCGCAAUGGAGCCGACACAUCAGCGAAGGACGUGGCCCCAGCCAUCAUCGGGAUCCACCUCGACCCGCAUCACCCGAAGGGCACGGUCUGAGGUAGAGGCCAGAGGAGAACCAGAGUAGAUCGGCAGUGGCACAGUGGCAAUAAAAUCCAUACUACGUGCCGGUAAAAUGUCCAAGUUUGUUCCCUCAAGCCGCUGCUCGGCCUGCCCCAGUCAAGCACAAAAUAUAAUGGUGGUUCAAUAUAUUUUUUCCUUUUCAUUUUCAAAUUUCUGAGCUCUCCCUGGUGCCCGUACUCUCCUCCCACACGCUCCCGUUCAUCGCCAUGAAGGUGGCAUUGGAUAUGAGCGAGGGUGUAGUUGGUCCUCAAGAACGAGGCUCGGCUAUCUAUAGCUUUUGUGGACCUCUCACGGGAAUGUGAACAACCGACGGGAUUCUCCUUGGCCUUUGCAGGGGAAAAAAGCGAGAAUAUUACUGCAGUAAAACAAUAUUUGUGCGCGCGCGUGUGUUUGCGGUGUUCGAGUGAAUCUAUACAAGGUAUAUACCAGACGCAUUUAUCAAAGUCCAUCAUGCUAACAUGUGUGCAGACUGCAGCUGCAUUUGCUCAUCGAUUGGCUGUCCCACCGUGGCGAUGUAACAGUGUCUGUUUGUAGGCACGCAGAGGCAGUCGACGCUGGCCAUAAACAAGAUGGGUGAAGUGGAUGUGUUGUUCAAGCAGAAAUGUGUGUGUAAAUCUCUACGGCUGCUGAGAUUCACAGCAGACUGCCUGCUUUAUGAAGGCACACGUGUGAAAGCGAUGUUGGGAAAGCACAUCAAGAAAAUUCUGUGAAAUAAAUAAUGCCAAUAAAGCUGGGAGCUGUAGGCCACAAACGCUAGCCACCUCGACAGACGCACCGAAAGAUGAACACAUAAUUCAGGCCAUCCUCCUUGGCAGAUGCGGAUAGCUGAUGCACACAUUGUAAAUGGUAAACUCUCCAGUCGCGUGCGACUGUGGUCAUCCCGAACAGAGAGAGUACAACGUAUAACCACGCAACGAUCGAUCCACAAAAUACACUGUUCCUGAACGCAGUUAUCUUGCUUGACCGCCUGAAUGUGAAAUUGUAGUUGUUGCUCUGCAUCUACUGCAUCAGCAGCCGUACGAAAGAAGAAGAAGGCCAUCCUCCUCACGUUAUAGGCAGAGUAGAGAGGCCCAUUGUAGAUUGGUGUGAAAUUGGAAAGGCACAGGGUGUGUAACACGAUUGGUGCAACACGAUGUUGACAUAUACAUACAAACAGUACGAGGUGAUUCGCUUGUCAAUGCAAUAGAUGGAAUUAUAACCAUGAUGUAUUCAAUUUGGUGUUUAUGAUUACAGCAGUUUAUCAAUCGGGCAGGAAGGGUGACUAAUUACUACACUUUGUGGGUUUCGUGUCUACUGUCAUAUUGUGAAAAAGGGACUUUGAUAAAUACUUUCAAUGCAUAUAUAAGUUUACAAAAAUCCUUUGCGAAAAUAUAUACUUUUCUGUUAUUUGGAGAGGAAGACACUUUUAUUUUUAUCCAUUUUCUUCAAGGUACUUUUGCAACACGAUACCUUGAAGAAAAUGCAUGCUGCCGCAGUGCUGUGAUGGUCAGCACACUGGGCCUGCAAUCCCAGAGGUCGCCGGUUCACGCCUUUGCCACGGCCGUUGAAACAGUGGCGCGAAAAUAAUUGCCCUCUCUCUGGCCUCUGUCCACCAAGCAGUAUAAAUGGGCUCGCCACGGUUCCGAGAUUGGAAGGUCACGUGAGGUACGGUAAAAGUCUGCAUACUCGCACCUCUUCCAAGAUGUCUGCCCAGGCGUGGAGGAGGAGGCCAAAAUACCCUCUCUAGAUGGAGCUCUGUAGAAAGUUCUAAAGAGCUCUCUGCCUCUAUCAGUGUAUGAGCAAUACAUUGCAGGCCCCGAAUCUCUUUCGCUUACCUUCAAGGAAUCAUCCCGGCUUCAAUAUUGAUCUAUUUAUUUCCAUUGGUGGGGAAAAUGUAUUUUUUUUAAUGUUUACUUUUACACGUGUAUAAUAUACACACAUCUCCAUACUCACGUGGGGCAAUCACAACUUUUUUAGAAUGGGAUUCUGAAACAAAUCAGGUUGGCGUCACGUGACACGAUUUCUCUCCCGUCACCGGUUUAGCGUUAGCUUCACCCGAGCUUCGUGAUGCCACGUGGAGAGUUCCGCAGAGGAGGCAACCUCACAGUCAAAAUCUAAACGCCGCCCGAUUCAUAAAUAUGGGCUUCCAUAUUGAGCGUAGUCAUCUGCAGCUUGUUUUCGAGACAAAACAAGUGGUGGGACACAGACGAAUCUCAAUUUCGCCGUCAAACCCAUCGCAGCGGCGCAGACCGAAGAGUCAGUCAGAUUACGUCUUAAAAUGCCACGACACUGCAAUUCCCCCCCCUAUCCCCUUAUCAAGAAAGCCUGUGAAGAUGAUUUCUAUCAGAAUAACAGUUCCAAUUGGUUUACAUUCCGGGGCCAAGGACAUAAGCAAUGUCACAAUUACACGAGUGAUUAUCCACCUGUUUAACACGUGGGAGACUUUCGCGACCAAUGUCAUAAUACAGGUUUUUUUGGGUGAGAUCGCGUAAAUAUAUACAUGUGUCGUUAAACCCGCCACCACCCGACAGCCAAUUGGUAAGAUUUGUCACGUAAACAGAACAUGCCAUUUCGUUACUAGUACAGCACACCGGUGUGUUGGAGAGCAAAGCCACAUUUACAAUCUGAGUACGACGUUUCGCCAUUAAUUACAACUGGCACCAUCAGGCAUACAGCCCCUUUUCGUCACUCCAGCCCUAGAUGAGAACCUCUCCACGCCCGCGGGACACGGGAGGUUAUUUUGCCGCACUUCACUACGCUGACCAGUGCGGGUUUGGUGAGGGCGGAGAGCAGAUGUGGGAGCGCGCAUGCCCACACCUCCGAUUGGCACGGUUGGCUAUGCACGGUGCAAAAGAAGUUCAUUGUACGAUACAACAACGUAAUUUUCGACACUGCCCCCUGAUGACAACCUUUUUGUGUGCGUGGUGGUGGUGGUGGUGGUCACCCACGCAAGCGCUUUCCACAGCCUCAACACUGCUUAGCUUCCCACAUUUAAAAUCGGUCGCAUUCCGGGAUGCUUUGGUCGCAGGCGUGAUGCAAGAAGGUCACCCACAUCUUGAACGUAUCGACAAUGUACUCUACGACAAAGGCAACUGUACCGGAUGAAUUUAAUAAGUGGAAAAACGUUGAUGAUCCACGGUGUAUAUUUUAGAAUAACCCCCCCCAAAAACUGGUUCAUUUGCUAAGUAUAAUCUUCUUUGUAACCCACUAUUUUAUAAGUGGGUUGCAAGUGGGUGUCCCGGUGGCAAGAUCCUAUCUGCUUCGCCUGGUUUACAGGAGGUUGUGGGUUCAACCCCAACCCUGAGGCCUGUAUCUUUGGAGUUUGCAUGUUCUCCCCGUGGUCGCGUGGAUUUUUCUCCACGUCCUCCGGUUUUCCCAUCGCCCUUUAGAAACAUAUGUUUAGAAAAUUUGGCUUCUAUACAUUUUCACAUAAGGCACUUCGUUCAGCUAUCAUUUGUGGCCAGGUCGCUUCUGAAAAAUAGCUAUAUAGCUCAGUGGGUCUUACCUGGUAAAAUAAAACAUAGUUUAGUUUAGAAUAUCCUGAUAGAUGGUCGCUAAAAUUAACUUGACAAUUGACGUUUUUUUUGUCUUCAUCCACUUAACUUGCCUGAUGUAAACAAAAAGCCGACUUAAUGGACAGUGAGGUUCCAUGGGUUAUCACGUUUUUCCAAGAUACUUCCUCAUAGGGGGUUUGCCAACUCCGAUCGCGGGUAGAUGAAUAUCUCACAAUGCCCGGAAGAGGGGCGGAACUGCAUGUAAACGCAUCGUCUUGUUGUUGAACAAACGACAAAAAACCUGGAACUUUUAAUGUCCCGGAAAGACUUUCAGAUUUCCCAGGAGGGCAGCUACCUCAAAAAGAGGACAAUCCUGGGAAAACCAGGACACGUGGCGAUCCUACCGUUAUAUGAUCGUUUUUUUGUGCACUAAUCGGUGACUAGGCUGAGAUCAUUGCCUCGCUAGGCAUGAGAAUCAAAUCAUUGGUUUGGAGCUCUGACAUGGCUUUCACAAACUCCCCGAGUCAUCUGGUUCUGAAGUCCCCUCCACCUGUAUACACAAAUCAAGUGCCACAAUAUUACACGGGGUAGCAUAAGCAUGGGGUGACUAUUGGCAAAGUUCCAGGAGUGAGCUGGUACAUCGAGUGAUGUACUUUUAUUAUCCCGUUCUCAAAACAUUCUGAUUCCCCCCUGUAUAAAAUGAAUAAAACCAUGGCAUGCAUAGUAUACGGUAUACGGUAUCAGAUUGUGCACCGGUGGUGUGGUUGGUAAUUUAACUCGUUAAAACUUAACGCAACACAAUUUGAGAAACGAAAGAAUCGGGCGGCGGACAAGGAACUCAAGUUGGUCAUCGCUGCCCUCGUCGUUCAUUGAACAAGCCAUGGAUGACGUUCGCUGGACCGGGAAAGUUCACCGACUCGCAGCGGCAGCAGCAGCAUCCAAAAAGAAUGUCCUAAACUGAAAAUGUGAAGAAAACAAAAUCAUCGUUUGAUGAGAUACACGAGCUUUCACACAACAUGCUGUAGGAAUGGUGGGUGGGUGGGGGGAAGGGGGGGGCGACCCAGCGACUAUUGAUGAAAUUGUGAAACUGUCAUCGCAGUGUGGAAAAGUACAGACAGUGAACAUACUCGAGAGGCAGACACCCCCAGCGGAGACCGCGAGUCGAUAUUCUCGUCUCGUACAUCUUCAGUACGCAAAAUUCGUGGCCGCAGAGUUUGCCAUGCGGACAUCUCUCCGUCUUUCUCUCUCUCUCCGUGAUCUCAGCUGUCGAGCAAGAGAUGAACGGCGCUCACUGUUCAAGCAACGUUGCAUGCCCUCUUUUGGGAACGGCUCAAACUUGAAUUCAUUUAUCGCCUUUAUUUAUCAUUCGUAAGCAGGGAUUGUUGCCUUCUUGAAAAAAAAUAACAACUGUCGUGCUCUUAUUUUAAAAAAAAGUCAAACCUUUUUUGCGUUUAUCCACCCCAGCCUACGGUUUUGCUGGAGGACGGGGAGAUAAACAAAACAAAUGAAUGUGUCAUUUAUUUAAUGUAACUUACGAUUUUUGUUGUUGUUGUUGUUGCCGUCUUACGUUCGUUGCGAGAACUUUUCCUCGCCGUUUUGUUUUCUUUGUUUACGGUGAUGCUGCGAUCUGCUUCGCCAAAAAGGCCAAGCUUGGUUUGGUUGUUGUUGUUGUUGUUUUUUCGCACGCGCAUUCGGACCGCGCACGCACGCGCGGCCCCACGACUCGCGACGCCUCCACGCGGCAAUGAGCCGCCAGGGUCACUCACGGCCGUCGACUGCGCACGUGGCGACCGCCUCCUCCCACGCGACCUCUCGUAGACCCGGCCCCGCGGACUCGUGGCGAAAAAAAAUCGGCCAUCGUUGGUCCGUCGUGGCUGAGAUUUUUUUUUUUAAAAAGGGGAAACGCCAACUGGUCGUCGCGAGCAAAGCUACUGGCACGUGCAACGCCUCCCCUUACGCUUUUGAGCUCACUUUAAUACGCGAGACGAAACAGGCGGUAAUUCUGUGAUGGGACGCCAUAUCAGUGCAACUGUAUUUUGUAUAGCAGACCCAGGGCUUGAGACAAAGGACUGCCUAGGUUUUCAAGGUCGCGCUGCACAGCUCCCGGCGAUGUCCGCUUUCGGGUUGCACCGCCGCGUGUUGUCCGGUGCGAUGUCCGACGUUUCGCGCCGCGCGCAUCGAGACGGGAAAGGAGCUGCCAGCACGCGUGGGGCGAAACGUCAGUCGUAAUGCCGAACAGGACGCGGCUUAAACCCGAAAAAAAUGCACAUCGGAGAGCUAAGGAUGGUUUAUUUUAAAAUGAGCAGUGCGCGGGGUUCAAAGUUGAUAUUUGGGCUGUGACUUUCGCACAAUGGUCUACACGCACAGAGUGACGUCACGAUGUCUUUGGUAUCGGCGGGUGCUCCAGUUUGGUUCGUUGUAAUAGAAUUGACUUUCGGGCUAUACCCAGCCACCUGAUUGCAAAAAUGUUUCCCCCAAUUAUUUAAAAGUCUUAAGUCGCACUGAAUGUGAUUAAUUGAGAAUCAAAUUAGAGCGGUAAUUUUUUCUUACAAAGUAAAUUUAUUUCAGACGCAGUCACGCCAAUUUGCCACACUUAGUAUUGGUGAUGAAUGAUUAAGCAGAAAUAGAUUAGUACGUACGCAUCUCUUUCAAGAGAGACUGGGGGAAUAUUGUAAAAAUAUUAACUACAAGAAAAUUUAUUUCAAACUUCGUAAGAUGCGUAAUAAUCGCUGUGAAAUCAGCACGAAACACAAGACGCUUCCCAACGCGUUACAAUUUUACAGUGGAAUUGAACUCAUUUGCCAUGGAGACAAUAAUAUAUACACAAACUUCAAGAGUUAACCAGUUGUGCAAAAGAUACAAUAUACGUAUGAUUUGAACUCGAGGGCUGUCGGGGAUUGUGGGAGACAAUGAGUGAUUCACCCAAACAGAAUGAUGUUCUGUUCAUUUGAAGUGGCCACAUAGCCACAAGCUUUGUGCAUGCCUUCUGUAAAUCUGGCAAUUUUUAGUAAAAAAAAGAAAAAAUAUUAAAAUGUAAAAAAAAAUCACAAGGCUAUAGUAUUUAUAUUAUAUACAAUGUCUGCAGAAGCUACGGACACUUUUACCAGCAUUCACGAUGUUUUGCCCAGUAUUGUUAAAGUGUGUGUUUUCAUGUAAAACAAAAAAAUCACAUUAUUACUCUAAUUGAUAACAACGAUAAUUAUGAUAUUGUUUAAGUUUAUUUUGCAAAAAAUUUUGCAUGUGAAUUGAGACAUAAACUAUGCAGAUAGAUAAGCAAAUGUGGAUGUUAUUUCACUCAUUAAUGAUGACGUGACCGCC